AGCGGCGGACGGGUGAGUAACACGUGGAUAACCUACCUAUAAGACUGGGAUAACUUCGGGAAACCGGAGCUAAUACCGGAUAAUAUUUUGAACCGCAUGGUUCAAAAGUGAAAGACGGUCUUGCUGUCACUUAUAGAUGGAUCCGCGCUGCAUUAGCUAGUUGGUAAGGUAACGGCUUACCAAGGCAACGAUGCAUAGCCGACCUGAGAGGGUGAUCGGCCACACUGGAACUGAGACACGGUCCAGACUCCUACGGGAGGCAGCAGUAGGGAAUCUUCCGCAAUGGGCGAAAGCCUGACGGAGCAACGCCGCGUGAGUGAUGAAGGUCUUCGGAUCGUAAAACUCUGUUAUUAGGGAAGAACAUAUGUGUAAGUAACUGUGCACAUCUUGACGGUACCUAAUCAGAAAGCCACGGCUAACUACGUGCCAGCAGCCGCGGUAAUACGUAGGUGGCAAGCGUUAUCCGGAAUUAUUGGGCGUAAAGCGCGCGUAGGCGGUUUUUUAAGUCUGAUGUGAAAGCCCACGGCUCAACCGUGGAGGGUCAUUGGAAACUGGAAAACUUGAGUGCAGAAGAGGAAAGUGGAAUUCCAUGUGUAGCGGUGAAAUGCGCAGAGAUAUGG
Molecule: ribosomal RNA, 620 nt
Filed under: uncultured Staphylococcus sp.
Lineage: Bacteria; Bacillati; Bacillota; Bacilli; Caryophanales; Staphylococcaceae
Description: bacterial SSU rRNA
Rfam family: Bacterial small subunit ribosomal RNA
Source: RNAcentral